This 82-nucleotide ribosomal RNA is filed under the name Streptococcus sp. HMSC071H03. The record is from RNAcentral. Lineage: Bacteria; Bacillati; Bacillota; Bacilli; Lactobacillales; Streptococcaceae.
UUAAGUGAUGAUAGCCUAGGAGAUACACCUGUACCCAUGCCGAACACAGAAGUUAAGCCCUAGAACGCCGGAAGUAGUUGGG